UACGUAUGAGGUGAAAGUCUCCCGGCUCAACCCCGCAGGCUCAUUGGAAACUGCGGAACUUGAGUGCAGAAGAGGGCGAGAGCAAUUUCACACGUAGCGCUGAUAUGCGUAGAGAUGUGGAGGGCACACCAUGGGAUCAGGUGCCUUUCCCCGUGUGUAAGCUACUCAGAGGUAGCGAACGGGUCAGGAGAGAACAGGAGUAGAUACCCUUGUAGUCCCACGCCUAAAACAGAUGAGUGCUAAGUGUGGAGGGCCUCUCGCCCUCUUAGUGACGCAGGUUACGCAUUAAGCAAUCAGCCUGGGGAGUACAGUCGCAAGAUUGAAAAUCAAAGGAAUUGAUGGGGGCCCGCACCAGCGGUGGACCAUGUGGUUUAAUUAGAAGCAACGCGAAGAACCUUACCAGGUCUUGACAUCGUAGUACAAUCCUAGAGAUAGGAUAUGUCCUUUCAGGGCACCGUGACAGUUGAACGGUAGUUGUUUUUUCCUCGCAUCAGAAGAUUUUGGUCUAAAAACCGCCAUCAGUCCCACCCCGGAUCUUAGUCGCCCGCUUUUCCAUGGGCAAUGAAAGGUUACUGCCGGUCCCAACCGGAGGAAUGUGGGGAAGAAGUCAAAUCCUCAUGGCCCUUUAGACCUGGGGACACACCAUCUACAAUGGACAGAACAAAGGGUAGCGAAACCAGGAGGUUAAGCCAAUUUUACAAAUACUUUUCAGUUCGGCCUCAGUUACAACUUGACUGGCGGAAGGUGGAACCGUUAGUAAUCGGGGAUCAUUUUGGCGAGGUAUACCAUUCCCCGGCCUGGACACACCCCCCGACUCACC
RNAcentral lists this ribosomal RNA (820 nucleotides) under Bacillus sp. OPC8. RNAcentral's name for it is "bacterial SSU rRNA". It matches the Rfam family "Bacterial small subunit ribosomal RNA", at positions 584 to 1403 of the family's 1533-position model. The record is from RNAcentral. Lineage: Bacteria; Bacillati; Bacillota; Bacilli; Caryophanales; Bacillaceae.